RNAcentral lists this ribosomal RNA (738 nucleotides) under uncultured Campylobacterota bacterium. RNAcentral's name for it is "bacterial SSU rRNA". It matches the Rfam family "Bacterial small subunit ribosomal RNA", at positions 637 to 1372 of the family's 1533-position model. The record is from RNAcentral. Lineage: Bacteria; Pseudomonadati; Campylobacterota.
UAACCUAGAGUAUGGGAGGGGGAGAUGGAAUUAGUGGUGUAGGGGUAAAAUCCGUAGAUAUCACUAGGAAUACCGAAAGCGAAGGCGAUCUCCUGGAACAAUACUGACGCUAAGGCGUGAAAGCGUGGGGAGCAAACGGGAUUAGAUACCCCGGUAGUCCACGCCCUAAACGAUGUUCACUAGUCGUCGGAAUGCUAGUCAUUUCGGUGAUGCACUUAACAGAUUAAGUGAACCGCCUGGGGAGUACGGUCGCAAGAUUAAAACUCAAAGGAAUAGACGGGGACCCGCACAAGUGGUGGAGCAUGUGGUUUAAUUCGAAGAUACGCGAAGAACCUUACCUAGCCUUGACAUUGAAAGAACACCCUAGAGAUAGAGUGGUGCCCUUCGGGGAACUUGAAAACAGGUGCUGCACGGCUGUCGUCAGCUCGUGUCGUGAGAUGUUGGGUUAAGUCCCGCAACGAGCGCAACCCUCGUCCUUAGUUGCCAGCAGGUUAAGCUGGGCACUCUAAGGAGACUGCCUACGCAAGUAGGAGGAAGGUGAGGACGACGUCAAGUCAUCAUGGCCCUUAUGGCUAGGGCUACACACGUGCUACAAUGGGGCGUACAGAGAGUUGCGAUACCGCGAGGUGGAGCCAAUCUCAUAAAGCGUCUCUCAGUUCGGAUUGGAGUCUGCAACUCGACUCCAUGAAGCUGGAAUCACUAGUAAUCGUAGAUCAGCAAUGCUACGGUGAAUACGUU